Long non-coding RNA from Pocillopora damicornis (cauliflower coral), 508 nucleotides. Lineage: Eukaryota; Metazoa; Cnidaria; Anthozoa; Scleractinia; Pocilloporidae. The record is from RefSeq and is a predicted model, not a curated record.
AGGGGAAACAUGGCAGCGAAUAAUGCCCUCUUCAAAAAUAUGAAGGUUCCAGAGCUACACAAGUUUUUAAAAGAAAUUAGAGAAGAAUUAAGUUAUCAAGUUUCAAAUUGAAAGCUGUGAGAAUUGAAAUAUGUGUAGAAAACUGAUGGUGUCCAAUAUUUAAACGCGGAGGGCUGUUUUGGAUGAUCAAUUGACUUCAAAUUCUCCUCAUGAUCAUCUGUAUCUCUGACCACCUUGGACUGAAUUAUGGCUAAGAGUUUGGACAUGAAGCUGCAAUCAAUGCCAAUAGCACAGUGAAUCAAAGAGAAGCUCAGAUACCUCCAGAUGAUGACAUCAAGCCAAGGCCACCUAGUGGAGGAGGUUCUAGUAGUGGAGAAGGUUCUAGCAGUGGAGGAGGUCACAUUGGAUUUGAGGGCUAUGGAGCAGGCUCUAACAGGCCUGGUAUUCGACCCAUGACAGGAGGUAACAUGGGAUAUGCAGCAUACCCACCACCAAUACAUGUAAGUCA